This is a long non-coding RNA of Sapajus apella (tufted capuchin), 138 nucleotides long. RefSeq lists it as uncharacterized. Lineage: Eukaryota; Metazoa; Chordata; Mammalia; Primates; Cebidae. The transcript is spliced from 2 exons. The record is from RefSeq and is a predicted model, not a curated record.
UGGCCGGGCGCGGUGGCUCAAGCCUGAAAUCCCAGCACUUUGGGAGGCCGAGGCGGGCUAUUGGAUCACCAGGUUAAGAGAUCGACACCCAUCCUGGCCAACAUGGUGAAACCCUGUCUUUACUAAAAAUACAAAAAU